UCCCUGGUAGCUCAGUUGGUAAAGAAUCUGCCUGCAAUGCAGGAGACCCCGGUUUGAUUCCUGGGUUGGGAA
Molecule: transfer RNA, 72 nt
Filed under: Ovis aries (sheep)
Lineage: Eukaryota; Metazoa; Chordata; Mammalia; Artiodactyla; Bovidae
Rfam family: tRNA
About the family: Transfer RNA (tRNA) molecules are approximately 80 nucleotides in length. Their secondary structure includes four short double-helical elements and three loops (D, anti-codon, and T loops).
Source: Rfam by way of RNAcentral